UCGGGAAUUUUGGGCAAUGGGCGAAAGCCUGACCCAGCAACGCCGCGUGAAGGAUGAAGUAUUUCGGUAUGUAAACUUCGAAAGAAUAGGAAGAAUAAAUGACGGUACCAUUUAUAAGCUCCGGCUAACUACGUGCCAGCAGCCGCGGUAAUACGUAGGGAGCAAGCGUUGUUCGGAUUUACUGGGCGUAAAGGGCGCGUAGGCGGCGCGGUAAGUCACUUGUGAAAUCUCUGAGCUUAACUCAGAACGGCCAAGUGAUACUGCUGUGCUAGAGUGCGGAAGAGGCAACCGGAAUUCUUGGUGUAGCGGUGAAAUGCGUAGAUAUCAAGAGGAACACCUGAGGCGAAGGCGGGUUGCUGGGCCGACACUGACGCUGAUGCGCGAAAGCCAGGGGAGCAAAC
This 401-nucleotide ribosomal RNA is filed under the name uncultured bacterium. RNAcentral describes it as "bacterial SSU rRNA". It matches the Rfam family "Bacterial small subunit ribosomal RNA", at positions 355 to 773 of the family's 1533-position model. The record is from RNAcentral.